Long non-coding RNA from Perognathus longimembris pacificus (Pacific pocket mouse), 2015 nucleotides. RefSeq lists it as uncharacterized. The record is from RefSeq and is a predicted model, not a curated record. Lineage: Eukaryota; Metazoa; Chordata; Mammalia; Rodentia; Heteromyidae. The transcript has 3 exons.
GGUGUGUGUGUGUGUGUGUGUGUGUGUAUGUUGUGUAGGUGAUAAGAUGUGUGUUUGUGUGUGGUAUGUGAAUGCUGUGUUAGUAUGCUUGGAGGAGAUGGCAUAUUAUUGAGCCAAACUCUUCUGUGGCUGUCAGUUUAGGGAAGCUUGAGCAUUAAACAGCCUUUUCCCACCCAGACCUGAAGGGUGCUUGAGUCCCAGUAGGAGCUGAGAAACUCAAAUUUCAGGAACAGAAGGGCAUUAUUCCAGAGGGUUUUUGUUUGUUUAUUUGUCUGUUUAUUUUCUUUAAAGAUUGGUUCAACAGUCUAGUGGUUAGGGUGGUUUUUCACCCAGACCAGGGUAGGUGAACAUAGAUUUUUCUAAAGUAAAAUAAGAAGCUUCUUUCUGCUAAAGAAAGGAUCCUUAUGGGAGGAUCUAGGGUUCAGCUGACCUCCCUACCCACCCCUGUGAACCUCCUCUGACCCUUGGGAAUCAAGGGUGGCCUGUCUUAGUAAUCAUGGAGACUGGGUGAGCCUGAGCACUGAACUGUUGGUGAGAAUCUGAGAUGGCAUUUUUCAUAGUCAUUGAGGCAGGAUUCAUUGCCCAGAAAAUGAGGGAAUAGACAGGAGCAGCAUGGUCUUGGCUAUCGCCUAAUCCAAUGAGGUAGGGGUGCAGUACUUCAGGGAAAAAGAAGGGAGACAUGGCACCUUUUAGCUUUUCUCUGACAACACCUGAGGUCUUUUGGGGGAGACGCUGAGGAGUGUUCAUUGCCUUGUGUUCUAGCUUUGUGCUGGUACUCCCAUUUGAUGUGGUCCCUGCAAGCAGGGAUACCUUUCUGCAUGUGAGCCCUUCCUGUUACAAGGUUUUGCUGGGGCUAGAAUUUUUCUUAUCAUUCACCUCUGCAAAGGAGGAUACAUUAAGAAUUUUAUCCUUCCAAAAGUGCUUUUGAAAAUGGAAGCACAUCUUCCCCUCCACUUGGCAGGUAGACGAGAAUGCUUGUGGAGAGAAUCACUUGAGUGACCCAUGCCUCUACAUGUACAAAUAUGUACUAGGUCAGAUGUGCCCUGAAACCAGGCAUGGUGGGGCACACCUGUCAUACCAGCACUGGACAAGCUUAGGCAGGAGAAUUGCAAAUUCAAGGCCAGUCUGGGCUACAUAGCGACACCUUGUCUCAAAAACUCAAAUAACAGUGUGACCUGGCUUCUGCAGACCUUGGCUUCCUGCCUGGAGAGGAAUCUUCUGAGCACGUGUGCAAAUAGUUAUACUAAAACCUCCCCUGCCAGGGUUUAGGUGUGAGAACUCAGGAGCAGGUCAUUGGUCCAUUUGUUCAGAUGCUGACGUUUUGGGGCAAUGGAUGUGAAGAGAGAUGAGCAGAGGGGUAGAGUAGAGAAUGAUUGAACACCCAGAGGGCCCAGGAACCCCAUGUCUACCCUGUGGAAACCACAGACAGACCACUGCAAAGGCUCCUGGACCCAAUACCCUACCUAACCUGCUGGGGUAGGGACUAGCACUGGAAAGAUGCCUCAGGUGUGUUUGGAGUGAGGGGAAUGGAGAUAGGGCAGGCACUUAGUACCUGAACUUGGGGGACCUGGGGAAGAGUUCUAGUCCCUGGAUGGGCCCCUGCACCAGGUCUUACCAGGCUUGCCCUUGCCAGCACCCUUCUUUUCCAUCCACCCCCAACAGCCUCUUAUCAUCACUUAGCUACUGAUUGAUUGUGCCCCAUGGCUUGACAUUUGAGGGUUAGAAGAGUGAACUCCCACUACAGAAUCUAACCCUCUCCCCAGAUGCACAUUGCCUGUGCCAUUGGCCCCGGGGCUUUUAUCUUCAAUCCCCUUCCUGCCCUUACCACCUUUUUUUUUUUUAAUAUACUUAUUUUGCUAUGGGGGAGGGGACUAUCAAAUGAACAAGAUCACUUUUAAAUGGUAGUUUUUAUAAGAUGUUAUAAACUUGUAUCUUUUUACCAUUAAAGUGCAGUGUAUGUUCCUUCGUGAUAUAUUUAGGGUAUUUAAAUAAAAGAAUGGGGCUUUUCUACAUUA